Molecule: ribosomal RNA, 390 nt
Filed under: uncultured bacterium
Lineage: Bacteria
Description: bacterial SSU rRNA
Rfam family: Bacterial small subunit ribosomal RNA
Source: RNAcentral
AUUGAACGCUGGCGGCAUGCCUUACACAUGCAAGUCGAACGGCAGCACGGGAGCAAUCCUGGUGGCGAGUGGCGAACGGGUGAGUAAUACAUCGGAACGUGCCCAAUCGUGGGGGAUAACGCAGCGAAAGCUGUGCUAAUACCGCAUAAGAUCUAUGGAUGAAAGCGAGGGGGCCGGCAAGGCCUUGCGCGAAUGGAGCGGCCGAUGGCAGAUUAGGUAGUUGGUGAGGUAAAGGCUCACCAAGCCUUCGAUCUGUAGCUGGUCUGAGAGGACGACCAGCCACACUGGGACUGAGACACGGCCCAGACUCCUACGGGAGGCAGCAGUGGGGAAUUUUGGACAAUGGGCGCAAGCCUGAUCCAGCCAUGCCGCGUGCAGGAUGAAGGCCUU